CCCCUGGAAGGAGAUCACCAUCCCCAUAACUUGACAAUGCUGAGGCCAACCCUAUCCACUUGUACUUUCUCCCAUAUCUAAGUCAUUAUGCUUGAGUCAAAAUUCUCAAUAAUGUAGCCAUUUGGAAAACUUAGUCCAGGGAAAAGUCUCAUUGAAUAUUUUAAAUGAGAAAAAGAAUAAUGCAACCUGGGCAUGGUGAUGCACACAUGUAAUCCCAGUGGCCUGGGAGGCUGAGACAGGAGGAUGGUAAGUUUGAGUCCAGGCUCAGCAACUAAGCAAGACCCUGUCUCAAAAUAAGAAACAAAAAGGGCUGAGGAUGUUAAGUGGUUAAGUGCCCCAGGGUUCAAUCUCUGGUAUCAAAAAAUGAAACAAACUAAAACAAAAAAAGAAUUUAAAAGACUGAGAAAUGAAUUGUGCUUUCAAAUAGACUCCAUUAAUCUACUAGGUCCUUAGGUUUCUAGGUCUUGAUAAUGCCUCUGGAAUGAAAAUAACUACAAAAAAAAAAACAAACAAACAAACAAAACAAGCAAACAAAAACCAUUCCUUUACCCCUUAAUCCCUGAAGUCUAGGAUUUUAUUCACCUCCAUCCUUCACACCUUCACUGCCUGUCUGGUGUUCUGGCUUUUAUGUGGUAGAUCUCACUUAGUAAUGGGCUUCAGUCCAAAAUGCUCUUCUUGUCUAGGUGUCUAGUCCUCAGAAGCCUCUUUCCCAUGGAAUGAUGAGAUAAAUGGUGACUGGUUCCCAGACUGGUCCUCAAACAUCUAUUUAUCUCAGAGAGCUGCUUACAAUGAAAACUAGUGGAAGAAGCCAUCCCUACACACUAGCUGUUAGGAACACAGUAAAGCUGGCUUCGUGAUAGUUUCUGUUGAGGCUGAGGGUGUCAGUGAAGGUCAUGCCAGCAAUAGACACGGGACAGAGUCAUUGAGUACAAAUAGACAAAGAGGAUGAAGAAGCUGGCAGUGUCAACACUGAGACCUUCCCCAGGCCCAGUGAGUCCCAUUUAACUGGGCCUUGCCCUUCUGAGGCUGGAUUAUUGGACAAGCUUACUGGAGCUCUUGUACUCAGCUGCUGCAUUUAUAGCCCACUUCUUCCUCCUCCAUAUCCAUGGAUUCAAGCAACUGCAGAGGGACAAUGUUUGAAAAAAAAAAAAAAAAACCUCCAAGUGUACAGAAUAUGCACAGAAAAUUUUCAUGUCAUUGUUCCCUAAGCAAUAUAGCACAACAAUUGUUUACAUAGUACUAAUAUUGUUUGGGAUAUUUAUAAGUAAUGUAGAGAUUAUUUAAAGUGUAUGGGAAGAUGCGUGUAGGUUAUCUGAAAAUACUGUGCCAUUUUAUAUAAGGAACUCGAGUAUCUGGGAAUUCUGGAAUCUGUGAGAGGUCCUGGAACCAAUUCUCUAUAGAAACCAAAGGGUGACUACAUAAGGGCUCGAUUAAGUUCUACUAUCAAUUUUUAGGUCAAAGAGAGUAUCAUUCUGAAAUUCUGCUUGGAUAUCAAAGUAAAAGUUGAUCAAUUUUAAUAUCCAAUCUGAAAUUUUUUGCCCUUAGACUAAAGGCAUAAUAGUGGACAUGAUCAUGGAAUGUGGGAAUUCAUCCUCUUUGCCUCUUCUUCAUUCCCUGGAAAAGCUGGACAGGAAGGGAACAGCAAUGGAAGAACCUCUUGGGGGCUCAGGAAUUACAGGCUUUCUUGUUUGUUCCUUUUUGCCUGGAAGAUGCUGCGGGCAUCUCCCGAUGACUGGUUCCCUCCCAUCCCUGAGAUCUCAGUGCUGGUAUCCACUCCUCUGAGGGAGCUCUUCCUUGACCUGGCCAGUCCAAACCAAAUUAGGCCACACCCAAUGCUCUCACUAGCACCUCCAUCAUCUUUAUUGUUAAUCAGCUAUAGGAUUAUCCUCCUCAUUUUGUUUUAAUUUGUCUAGCUUGUCUUUUUUACCCCCAAAUGUAAGCUGCACAUGAGGGUCUUUACCCAAUGGUGUCCUACAAGUGCCUGGGACAAAAUAAGGACUCGAUAUAUUUUCAGUAAUUGCUGACAUUUGCUGGCCUUCUGACCCCUAAACCCUUAUCAGCACCUACUUCCAUCCCCAUGACCAGACAUACCAACCUUUAGCUUCAGUUGACAUCUCCAAUAUUUCCUAUGCCUCCCACAUAUUUCUCACCAGAAUAACCUAGGGCAACCUAGGAUAAGAAGUGGAUUCUUGUGCCUUGCCUCCAGAUGUUGAGAUUCUGUCAGACUAAGAUUAGCCCUGGAUUCCCAGCCAAAUGACUGACUCCAGUAAAAUCCAUUUUUAUUCUUAAUGAUACAUGUAUCCCUCUUACUUCUCUCAUCUUGUGAUAUUUGACUUCAAAUGCAUUUCUCCCACGGAAGAUCCAUAUUCUAAGAAUUUGGUCUUAGACAACACCAACCCAUUAGUUUCCUAGGUAUUCUGUCAAUGUGAUCUCCUUCCUGUCCUAGGGCUUUAAGCUGCAGAUGGGAAAUAUUAAUUGUUGACCUACCACCCCUUAGCCAUACUCUUCACUAUAAUAUUUAAUGGGUAACUUGAAAAAACAAAACUAUUCUGUAGAAAAAACUCUGAUGCAGGUUGCAUUACAUUAAAGGUAGCAAAGUUUCACAUGUUAGAAAGGCAUAAUUGUUCAUCCUGCUUUCAUUGAUCACCAUGCUCCCUCCCAUAUGAUACAACUAGCUGCUCCAUAACUGCACACUGAUCUAAGGCUUUGUGACAGUUCCUCUGUUUCAAGCAACAGUAAAUUCACCUCCAAAAAGUCAGAAAGGGAGUUUUUUGAUGGCUGCUGUCAAUUUUAUUGCUUUAUCUGGUUACUAGGAUAGAAUCUGUACACAUAGUGUGUUUAUUGGUUUUAUGUAUUGUGUGUUGUUGCUGCUCUGACAAGCUACUCCUAUAAAAAUGUGUUAUUAUUGCAUGAUGUAGCUCAGUGAGCUGACCCUGCAUUUCAAAGUGUACUGAAGCAAAUAGCAUUGAAGUCCAUAAAAGCUGACUGGCCUCCAUCACAGAGGAUUCUCUGCGUGAGCUGCAACUCCUACAAUCUGAGGAAGAAUUAUACCUUUCCCUGUGCCAGCAGCCACUGCUAUUAACUGAGCACAGCACAACCUCAAACACAGGCAUUAUCUGAAAAUUUUCAAAACAGGAAACUCUUAAGUCAUUCUUACUUGUCCAACUCUCUGAUAAACGUUGAUUGCAAUUUUGAAAUUUACAAAAGUAUACAACAACUGGCUUUUUAAUGUUUUCUUUUGUUAGUAUAGAAUACAAGAGGGGUAACUGACAAUGUUUUCUUUCUGCUCAGAAUGUUGAAGAGCUUUGCUGUUUAAUCUUUCAUGAGCAGUAACAGCUUUUAAAUACAAUCUGUAUUUAAUUAAUUCUUUCUUUUUAAAAUCUUAUCAGAUCAAUAACUGAUUUCAAAACAUUAGCUGGUUAGCUCUAAGCAGAAAAGACUGGGGAGUCAAUGGCCUGAUGUGUUAAGAAUCUGAAUUCUAGGCCAGGUGUGAUAGCAAACACCUAUAACCCCAGUUGUUCAGGAGGCUGAGGCCAGAGGAUCACAAGUCCAAGGCCAAUCUGGGUAACUUAAUGAGACCCUGUCUUAAAAUAAAAUAAAAGAGCCUUGAGGUUUAGCUCAAUGGUAGAACACUUUCCUACUAUGCCCAAGGCCUUGGAUUCAAUCCCCAGAAUGGGGAGGGGAAAAAGAGCACAAUUUGCCCAACAUAGCAGGAGGUAGCCUGCAGGCCAUAGGGAGAUGGAUUAGCUCAGUGUGGCUCCCAAGCCCAACUGAUUAUCAGAAUGACCUGGGGAAUUCUUUACAAAACAGUUGCCUAUGUCCCAACUUUAGCUAUUGAGACGGGGGUUGGUUUUGCACUCUUGACCAAAUUAUUUUAUAUAAAAUCCUUCCUUAAUCUUAACAACAAACAGCAGCAGAAGCUUGUUAAACUCCAUCAGCCCAAACACUGUAAUUCCAUAUCCCAUGAGAAGAAAUUUCUUAACGAAAAUGGGACAGCAGCACUAAGGAGCCCUCAAACCCAGGAACAUCCUGGGCAGGUAGUCUGUGUCUUCUGCCAUCACUGCCAGGCGACAGGACUCUCCUAAAACCACCCUGCUUUCCACCUGUGUCCUUCCCACUCUCAUGCUAUGCUAGCUAUUUAUGACUUGAAAUCAGUUAUUGAAUAUGAUGAGACUUUAAAAUGAAAGCAUUUGAUUUAUGGAUGGUAUUUAAAAGCUGUUAUUUCUCAUGAAAGAUUUAGCAGCAGCUGGGCAUGGUGGCAUGCGCCCGUAAUCCUAGCAGCUCGGGAGACUGAGGCAGGAGAAUCUUAAGUUCGAAGCCAGCCUCAGCAAUUUAGUGAGACCUUAAGCAACUCAGUGAGACCCUGUCUCAAUGGAAAAUAUAAAAAAAAAAGAGUUGGGGAUGUGGCCAAGUAGUUAAGUGCCCUUGGGUUCAAUCCUCAGUACAAAAAAAAGAUUAAGCAGCAAAGCUCAUCAAAGACCCAGCCUCCCACCUUCCUCAUCUUUAAUUUUCCCUGAGUACUUGACUGUUCAAGAUAUGGUACUAGAUCAUGCAAAGAUAGGGGGAAAACAAGUGGCCACCAGACACCCACCCUUCUCCUUCUGCUCCCUUCAUGUUGGUUCAUGGGCUUUCUAAAUAGCUUGGAAAACUAUUUCCUUCUCCCUCUCUAGUAACAACCUAAAUAUGCAACAAGAAAUAAGUGAUUAAAUAAAUUAGGAAAUGCCCUGAAUAAGUAGGGAGAGAUUCAAUGUUCUUAUGUGGAACAACUUAAUACUAUAAAUAAGUCAAUGCAAUUAACAAUCAGAUAAAGGCAUAUUAAAAUGAAAUGAACUUUUAUAUCUACCAGACUAACCCAAAAGAGAAAGCUGGAUAAUAGUGUAGGUGGGGAACUGCAUGCCUUAGGUUUAAACUGAUAUAGCCCUCCUAAGACCAUCUAAGGCCAUAAUCUGACAAAUUAAAAUGUGAUCCUCAAAUAUGGGGUGGGGGGUAUGUCGCAAGAAUUCAUGGCAGCAUAAUUUAAGGAUGGGGAAGUUUGUAGCAAUUUGAGUUUUCAUCACUAGGAAAGUGAGUGGAUAAAGUAGGGAAGAUGAAAAACACAUAGUUAGAAGCAAUGGAUUUGAUACAACAACAACUGAAUCUUAAACAUUAAAGAAAAACUUUGCAGACAAUUUAAAGUUAACAGAGUUUAUUUGAGCAAAGAUGGAUUCAUGUAUUGGAUAUACCCUGAACCAGUAGAGUUUCAUUUUUUUCUUUCUUUUUUUUAAAGUUUAGUUUUAGACAGAGUCUUGCUAAAUUUCUGAGGCUGACCUCAAACUUGUAAUCCUCCUGCCUCAGCCUUCUGAGUCUCUGGGAUUACCAGUUUGCAUCACACUCAGCUUCUGAACCAGUGGAACUUCAUAUAGCUCCAUCCAGCAAUAUAGCCAAAUGGUAUUUAUUCAUAGAUAGGAAAAGGAAGUGACAUAUAGAAACCACUUGAUUGGUUAUAGCUCAGUAUUUGCCUUAUUCAGGCAUGGUAUAUUGAGGCAUCUGCCUCAUAUGGAUAUAGUCUGAUCUGCUCACAGUCUGUGAUUGGCUGCAACUCAGCAGCUGCAAUUGGCUAAAACUCAGUGAUCUGUUAAAUGGAUAUACUCUUAGUAAGGUUGCAGUUUGUUGAUGUACAGAGUCAGUGUUAGGCAAAUUUACUUUAACAUACAGAGUUUCAGGGAGGAACAAAAACCAAAAUGAUGUAUUAACAUGAUCACCUACAUAAAUUAAAAAGGCAUGUAUACAAACAAUGUAUAAAAAAUAUUUUUAAAGAACUCAAACCAAAAAAUAAACCACUAAUAUUGUUGCUGAUUAUAUGGGGGUUGGGGGCGAAAGGCAAUAUCAAGAUAAAUUAAAUGAACCUUAGCCAUGGUUGAUGUGCCCAGAACUGAAGAGUAAGAUAAUAUUCAUCAUCAUCAUCAUUAUCAUCAUCAUCAUCAUCAUCAUCAUCUGUGCCUGAGGUUUUCUAGUAUAGACACACACACACACACACACACACACACACACGAGAAAAUAAUAUGGCACAAUCAUAUAAUGAAAUGCCAUAUGGCCAUUAUAAAUAACAUUGCAGAAUAUAUUUACAGACAUUGAAAUAUAUUUGCUUUAAUAUCCAAGCAAAAGAGCAGAUUACUAAACAUGAUGCUCAUUAUUAUUUCAUUUGUCAGCAAAAUAAAUAAUACCUAAAUAUUAAACAGUGACAGAGUGGCUGGUGGGGUUGCACUAAUUUGAGAACUUUUCUCCUUGCUAUAUUUUGAAUUUUCCUUCAAUGUAUUUUCCAACUAUAGGCAAUAAGGAAAAAAAUAAAAGAAUUGUUGCUUUGGGGUAAACAAUAAGAAGUCAAGGAUCCUGAGAACCACAGGUACUCAAAAGAAGGCAGUGUUUUUCCAAGGAAUGCAAAUGAUCAAGCUCAGCCUUUGUGGGUCACUUUUUCCUUUUUCUUGAGACAGAGGGAGCCAAAGCUGGUUUGAGGAUCCCCAACUGUAGGACACAAAUUACAGGGGACAAUCCACAGGAAAUGCUUCAGAUCCCAACAGAAGUCAAUACAUUUCUACUCAUGAAAAUUAUUUCAGCAUGGGACCCUUAACACAGCAUAUGUAUUCCAAAAGGACAGGAUUUUCUGGUAAAGAUUUUUAUUUAGACAGGUAGGUGCUUGAGGAUGUGUUCAUGCCAACCUGACUGUGACCUUUGUAGCUGCAAAGUACCUGCUGCAGGCUUUGCAAACAUCUUCAUUCUUCACCACCCAGCCGCUGACAGCUAAUUCUGGGCAGUGCUUAGUGAAGCAGGAUGAAUAUUUGUAAGAUGCUUUGAGCUUUACCAUAUUAAUGGACUUUUUUAAAGCCAUGUGAGGAGAAAAAAUAUAAUCAUAUGCAACAUUUAAGCAUACUGGACUGGUACGUCACAGAGAUUCCCUUUCUCAAGUUCUUAUCUGCAUGCAAGUAUUCAAUAAAAUUAUGUAGGGGCCCAGGGGUUUGAACUGAGCACUCGCACUGUCUUCAACAGACCAAAGCAAUAUAUGGAAGUUUAAUCACAGUAACUAAGACUUGGCUGGUUGCAGGAUACCCUGUCACCAAUUAACUGAUUAAGCUAUAAAUAAUACUAGAUAAGCUGUGCCCAAUUGACGGGUUGUUCACUAGGCUGUAACCAAUUAUUUUACCUGCCUCACUUCUGUUUUCCUAUAAAUGCUGUCUGAUCACAUUGUUGGGUAUUUUCAGCACCUAUUCUGGUUCUGGGAGUGCCAGGUUCUACUUUGUUUUGCUUACAUAAAUUCUACUAAAUUUAAUUCGUCUAAGGCAUCUUCCUUCUAGACUCCUGGGGGCAGCAGGUAAUCGGGUGUGGGGACUGCUGGGAACUUCAUGGCCACUGUCUUCUUACUGAACUUGGGAAUGAUAGAUUCCAGUUGGGGAAUAAAUUCUGCCUUCUGUCUCAGCAAACUGUUCCAGUCUAAAGAACGGAAGAAACGAUGCUGCUUGACUUCGUAUGCACCACCUGGAAGAGAAGAGGGUGGAGACAGAGCAAAGUGAUGGUGUAUACUUCAAGAGCUACAACAGAAGAAGCAAUAAAAAUAGCUACCAAUAAAACAUUAUCUGAAGACAUGACUACAUUCUUGCCAAACAACAAGGCUUUUUUGAAGAAUCUUUAUUUGUGGGUGAAAUUUUCAAUGCUACAUUAAAGGAAAAAGUAAGAAGGAAAAACAUCUAAUGGAAACAAAGGAUACAAAGAAAUUGGCCAUAAAAUAAAAUCAUCAUUUCAACACUACUCACAAAAUUUAGAUUUAAAAAAUGCACAACAAUGAAAGAAUGAAAAGCUCUGAUAUCAACUGGGCUACUUCAAUUGAAUGAAGAAAAAGCAAAUUUCUUUCUUUGUUUAAUUGUUAUAGUCACCUGGGGUAAUACAUUGUAUAUUAUACUUGAUGCAGGAAUAAACUGAACUAUACUGAUGUAAUAUAACCAACUAAAAUCAAGAAAGAAUUUUGAAACAGGAACUAGGAAGUUGCAUUGGUCAAAAGUGCUCUCAUGAUCUGAAUUCAGCAACCAAAUCUGUUCUUGUAAAUUGCUGUGGAAAUAUAUUCUGUGAUUUAACCUGGCAAAUAACAACUAGGCAACUAGGAGAGACCCCUAGCAUUUAUUCAAGGGCAUUAGAUUUCCAAUGGAAGUGAAAGUAAUUUAAACCUCUGUAACUUCCACAAAGCCAGACCAUUAUUACAAGGGAGGAAAAAAGGGAGGCGGAGGAGUAAUUUACAAUUAGAUGGAUUGAGCCUCAUCAGUACAGGCUGAGCAUCCUCUUCCAAAAUUCUUGGGACCACAAGUGUUUCAGAUUUGGGAACUUUUUUGUCAAAUAUGUAUAUAAGCUUUAACCUUGAGCAUCCCAAAUUCCUCAAAUCUGAAACUCUUUAGAGUAUCAUGUUCCUGCUCAAAAGUUUCAAUGGCUCUCAAGAAGUUUCAGAAGUUUGAGCAUUCUGGAUUUUGGAUUUGCAGAUUAGGGAUACUGAACCUGUGUUACAAUUAGCAGUAUGAAAAUGUUUCCUUGUUCCAGAUAAAAUCUGUGAUAUUAUGAUGCUCAUUUUUUAUUGUUUUUAAACCUGAAUAUUUAAAAUUAACUUGAUAAAUUUGCUCUUGAAUCUGGGUUAGAAAAUAUGGAAAAGAAGUGUGCAUCAUCAUAUUUUACAGUCUGUAAUUGAACUAUUAUAGGAGGUGUCUAUCAAUGAAACAAAUAAGGUCAGAAAAGAUUAAUAAGCCUGACCUUCAUUCUUCACCCAAGAAUAGUUUUUAAAAUACAGCAAUAUUUCCUCUAUUGGGCUAAAUUCAUAAGAAAACAAAAUGUGAAAGUCUUAAAAUGGCAUUUUUUUUAAAAGGCUCAGAAAAUCACAGCAACAGUGACCCUGGAUAAAAUCUCCAUGCUUCCUAAAUGAAAAUCAACUCCAAAAUUGAAGAGGAAGACUCCCAGAUGAUAAACAGCCAAUUUGAAUCUUCAUAACCAAUACAGAGUUCUGUUUACCUGAAUAAAUGUUUAAGAAGAUGAUCACUCACGUCAUAAUCUAAAUUAAUACUUUUUGAAGAGUGUGGAGGGAAUUCCAGUUGGAAGUUCAUGCAAAAUGAACCAGAGGUCUCCUGUGAUAAUCUCCUGUCAUGGCUUAUGGUUUGUCAAAAAAUAACAUGCUUUGGGGUUUGUGUAUUUUUUUUUUUUUGAAAGCACAGAAACCAGAUUCAUCUGUCCUUCAGUCACCCACUUCAUUAUUAGAUUCUCUUCAUUUUUAUAAAUCUGGCAGGAUUAAGAGGCUAUGGUUUCUGUCAUGUUUUAAUGCAUGCUGUAAUGAGAUUUGCAUUUUUCUUAUUAAAGUAAUUAAAUGCAUUCCCUCCCCCCCU
Marmota monax (woodchuck) is the source of this 9386-nucleotide long non-coding RNA. RefSeq lists it as uncharacterized. The record is from RefSeq and is a predicted model, not a curated record. The transcript is spliced from 4 exons. Lineage: Eukaryota; Metazoa; Chordata; Mammalia; Rodentia; Sciuridae.